RNAcentral lists this ribosomal RNA (3104 nucleotides) under Coelastrella sp. UTEX B 3026. Its description in RNAcentral is "bacterial LSU rRNA". It matches the Rfam family "Bacterial large subunit ribosomal RNA", at positions 14 to 2405 of the family's 2925-position model. Lineage: Eukaryota; Viridiplantae; Chlorophyta; Chlorophyceae; Sphaeropleales; Scenedesmaceae. The record is from RNAcentral.
AGGAAGGCUUACGGUGGAGACCUAGGCACUCAGAGACGAUGAAGGGCGCAGAUACCGGCGAUACGCUUCGGGGAGCUGGUAACAAGCAUGGAUCCGAAGAUUCCCGAAUAGGGCAACCUCUUUUAGAACUCCUUUUUGAAUUCAUAGAAAAGGAAGAGGCAACCCGGUGAACUGAAACAUCUCAGUAGCCGGAGGAAAAGAAAGCAAAAGCGAUUCCCGGAGUAGCGGCGAGCGAAAUGGGAAUAGCCUAAACCACCUUUAGGCAACUACAAGUGGGGUAGUGGGAAGCUGUAACAACAUUUGUACAAAGUACCUGUUGGUCGCGAUCCCUGCGAAGCAGAGAUCGCAACCCUGCGUAGCUUUGCCUGUUGGUUUUUACCUGUUGGCUGUUGCUUACGCCUGCAUAUGCUUCGCAUAUGCUGACGAGAGCAACAGCUACAAAGUAAAAACCAACAGGCAAGAGCAAACAAAAAGAAGGUAGAAAAAGACGAAGCAGCUGAAUCCUGCACCAUAGAUGGUGAAAGUCCAGUAGUCAACCAUUUCCUUUUGUUUUAGUUACAAAUUUAUAGCUCUUGCUUUGAAGGUAAAAACUCCAAAGUAAAAACUAUAAAGAAGAAAAUCCCGAGUAGCAUGGGGCACGUGGAAUCCCGUGUGAAUCUGCGAGGACCACCUCGUAAGGCUAAAUACUCCUGAGUGACCGAUAGUGAAGAAGUACAGCGAUGGAACGGUGAAACAGAACCCCCGUAGGGGAGUGAAAAAGAACAUGAAACCGUAAGCUGACAAGCAGUGGGAGGAUACAAAUAUCUGACCGCGUGCCUGUUGAAGAAUGAGCCGGCGACUUAUAGGAAGUGGCAGGGUUAAGGAAGAACCUCCGGAGCCCAAGCGAAAGCGAGUCUGAACAGGGCGAUUUUAGUCACUUCUUAUGGACCCGAACCUGGAUGAUCUAAUCAUGGCCAAGCUGAAGCUUGGGUAACACUAUGUGGAGGGCUGAACCCACCGAUGUUGAAAAAUCGGGGGAUGAGCUGUGAUUAGCGGUGAAAUUCCAAUCGAAUUCAGAGCUAGCUGGAUCUCCCCGAAAUGCGUUGAGGCGCAGCGGCAACGAUGUCCUGUCUAAGGGUAGAGCGACUGUUUCGGUGCGGGCUGCGAGAGCGGUACCAAGUCGUGGCAAACUCCGAAUAUUAGGCAAAGGAUUCCGUAAGCCAGUGAGACAGUGGGGGAUAAGCUUCAUUGUCAAGAGGGAAACAGCCCAGACCAUCAGCUAAGGCCCCUAAAUGGCUGCUAAGUGGAAAAGGAUGUGAGAAUGCUGAAACAACCAGGAGGUUCGCUUAGAAGCAGCUAUUCCUUGAAAGAGUGCGUAAUAGCUCACUGGUAAAGCGUUCUUGCGCCGACAAUGGCCGGGACUAAGCAGCCUGCCGAAGCUAUGGGAUUUGUUUUUUUUGAAUUGUACAAAGUACAAAAACAAAUCGGUAGGGGAGCGUACAGCAUGGGGUGAAGCUUCGACGUGAGUCUUGGUGGACGGUGCUGUAGCGAGAAUGUCGGCUUGAGUAACGAAAACAUUGGUGAGAAUCCAAUGCCCCGUAAACCUAAGGGUUCCUCUACAAGGUUCGUCCGUGGGGGGUGAGUCAGGACCUAAGGCGAGGCCGAAAGGCGUAGUCGAUGGCAAACAGGUUAAUAUUCCUGUACUUAUUUUUGUAGGGAACCGGGGGACGAAGAAAGCUAAGUUGGGUCUAUUUGUGGAUUGUAGUGGAAGCGUUCAAGGCGGCGAAAGGUCGAAGAAAAACGAAUCUUGAGUUGAGGCGCGAUCCCGCUUUCUAGACUUGUUCUUUAAAGCGCCAACGAUGUUAUGCUUCCAAGAAAAGCUCGUACACCUCUCAUUAUAUUUAUAAUGAGAAAAACACAAAAAUAACCUGUACCAUAAACCGACACAGGUAGGUUGGUAGAGAAUACUGAGGGGCGCGAGAGAACUCUCUCUAAGGAACUCGGCAAACUAGCCCCGUAACUUCGGAAGAAGGGGCGCCCUUUUUAACGGAAGGGUCGCAGCGAGUCGGUUCUGGCAACUGUUUAUCAAAAACACAGGUCUCCGCAAAGUCGCAAGACAAUAUAUGGGGGCUGACGCCUGCCCAGUGCCGGAAGGUCAAGGAAGUUGGUUAGUGGUUCUCACCUCGAAGCUGACGACCGAAGCCCCGGUGAACGGCGGCUGUAACUAUGACAGUCAAUCUUAGGGCUGUCGUAAAAUAAAACUAUAUGCUGGGACGUCCACUCUCCCAAUAGGCUAUUGCUUUGGAGUUUUUACCUUCAAAGGGGCUGUUGCUUACGCGAAGCGAGAGCAACAGCUACGAAGUAAAAACCAAUAGGCAAUAGCUACAAAGGAAAGUGAUUAUUGGAACCGAGUAGGUGAAAUGCCAAUACGAAAGACCAAUCAGCAGGAAACAAACAAAAACUUGUUUGGCUCCCCAGAGACUAUACGUUUUACACGUUGAUUGUACUAAACAAAAGAUAGCAUAGCUAGCAAUCAACAAAAGAUAUAGUCCUCAGUUCAUUAUUUGUACUAUAAAUAGCUAUUGCCUGUCGGUUUUUACUUUGUAGUAAAAACUACAAAGCAACAGCCAGCAGGUACAAACAACAGAAUGAACCGUAAUGCUACUUGCCUAAGGUAGCGAAAUUCAUUGUCGAGUAAGUUUCGACCUGCACGAAAGGCGUAAUGAUCAGAACGCUGUCUCGGAGAGAGGCUCGGUGAAAUAGACUUGUCCGUGAAGAUGCGGACUACUAAUACUUGGACAGAAAGACCCUAUGAAGCUUGACUGUAUCUUGGAAUUGGGUUCGGGCUUUUCUUGCGCAGCCUAGGUGGGAGGCAUUGAAGAUUUCCUUCCGGGGAAGUUGGAGCCAUCAUUGAGAGACCACUCUGGAGAGGCUAGAAUCCUAAUGGUGAUCCUUGGAUCAGGACACUUGACAGUUUCAGGUGGGCAGUUUUCCUGGGGCGGGAGCCUCAUAAAAGGUAACUGAGGCGCGCAAAGGUCCCCUCAGUCUGGACGGAAAUCAGACAACGAGUGUAAAGGCAAAAGGGGGCUUGACUGCAAGACCUACAAGUCGAGCAGGAGCGAAAG